CCCAGCUUGCUGGGUGGAUUAGUGGCGAACGGGUGAGUAACACGUGAGUAACCUGCCCCUGACUCUGGGAUAAGCGUUGGAAACGACGUCUAAUACUGGAUAUGAUCGCCGGCCGCAUGGUCUGGUGGUGGAAAGAUUUUUUGGUUGGGGAUGGACUCGCGGCCUAUCAGCUUGUUGGUGAGGUAAUGGCUCACCAAGGCGACGACGGGUAGCCGGCCUGAGAGGGUGACCGGCCACACUGGGACUGAGACACGGCCCAGACUCCUACGGGAGGCAGCAGUGGGGAAUAUUGCACAAUGGGCGAAAGCCUGAUGCAGCAACGCCGCGUGAGGGAUGACGGCCUUCGGGUUGUAAACCUCUUUUAGUAGGGAAGAAGCGAAAGUGACGGUACCUGCAGAAAAAGCACCGGCUAACUACGUGCCAGCAGCCGCGGUAAUACGUAGGGUGCAAGCGUUGUCCGGAAUUAUUGGGCGUAAAGAGCUCGUAGGCGGUUUGUCGCGUCUGCUGUGAAAUCCCGAGGCUCAACCUCGGGCUUGCAGUGGGUACGGGCAGACUAGAGUGCGGUAGGGGAGAUUGGAAUUCCUGGUGUAGCGGUGGAAUGCGCAGAUAUCAGGAGGAACACCGAUGGCGAAGGCAGAUCUCUGGGCCGUAACUGACGCUGAGGAGCGAAAGCAUGGGGAGCGAACAGGAUUAGAUACCCUGGUAGUCCAUGCCGUAAACGUUGGGCGCUAGAUGUAG
RNAcentral lists this ribosomal RNA (738 nucleotides) under Curtobacterium sp. RNAcentral describes it as "bacterial SSU rRNA". It matches the Rfam family "Bacterial small subunit ribosomal RNA", at positions 74 to 825 of the family's 1533-position model. Lineage: Bacteria; Bacillati; Actinomycetota; Actinomycetes; Micrococcales; Microbacteriaceae. The record is from RNAcentral.